This is a long non-coding RNA of Acanthopagrus latus (yellowfin seabream), 2403 nucleotides long. RefSeq lists it as uncharacterized. NCBI's taxonomy places the organism in Eukaryota, Metazoa, Chordata, Actinopteri, Spariformes, Sparidae. The record is from RefSeq and is a predicted model, not a curated record. The transcript is spliced from 3 exons.
CAGGAGGAGCAACAGGAGGAACAACAGGAGGAACAGAUCAGGUGUGUUUGUGUCUUAAUGAGUCAGUAAUUAAUAAUCUCACCAUAAUAUCUGUCAGCUGACCGUCAGUCUGAUUAUCAGCAGUUUCCUUCAUGUUGAGAAGAACUGUGAUAAUAGAUGAUGAGUUGAGAAGCAGUUCAGAAGCAGUUAGAAAUCACUUUUGAUUAAAAAAAGACAUUUGUUAGAUGUUGGGCAGAGACAGAGGUGGACUUGGACAAAAAAUCAGCCCUGGCAUUUUCUGUCCAGACCAGCCCACUACAUUAUCAGUGGACACCACGUAGAAGUCCACAAAUCUCACGGCGUCUUCACUUACACAUACUACAAAGGAGAGUCAUAUUCCUUGAUAGCAGUUAACAAAUAAAGCACGUAGCUAUGAACUCAAGGACUAAAAUUGAGAGCUAUAGCAAUCAACCACUCAGUCUUUAUUCAUUAUAGUGUCAAAUCACAGCAGAAGUUAUGUCAUGACAAGGGGCGGGACGAGACUGUCGGGAAGAACCCAAAACCUCCACCAGUUGGGUGGAGGGGGGAGAAAGAGCGAGAGAGACAAAGAGACAGAGACAGGGAGAUAAGGACAAACAGGGACAAUAAUAACAAGAUAUCACAGACAGUAGCAGCAUCAGAGCUGGAACUCAUGUGUAUUAACAGUGACUCAGCCAUUAUGAAACCAUCAAUAGAAAAUUGAAGAAAAAAAUUAUCUAUAGCUGUGUGAAAAAGUCUAAGAAUUACAGGUCUGAAUAGAUAUGCAUUCUCAUAUCAGUAUAUGUGCACAAGUAUGUCUUGCCCUGCUUCCUCGUCUGCAGCCAGCCAGCUCCACCCGUCACCUAAUUCAUGACCUGCAAGAAACAGCAAACAGAACUUGUGCUCAGUAUCUGUGUACUGACAAGUGUAUGUAGCCAAGCAGCCUUUUGUGACGUGGUGACACCUAGUGAACAAAUGUGUCUGUCAUGAAGGCUGACUUCAAAGUCUCAAAAGAGGCCUAAGGCAUUUGAAAACUACAGUAAAAGUAACACAUUUACACAAAGUAAGUUACACACAAAUUACACCUAUAAAUAGUUAUCACCUCAGUAAACAAUGAAUGAAUUGAAAGAUUACAAUAAAUUCAGUGAUAAAUAUUGGAAAUUAAACGUAUUAUUUCCUAUAGGUUUACUAAAAUUCAAAGUAUCUCAGCUUGAUUCUGCAUCUCUAUUUACAGCUCAUCAGUCCACCUGAAUGUUUCCUGUUGUCACACUGUUAGUUGUUUACGUUAGCAUCUGUUGGCUAACUUAGCUAAAUCAUCAUAAUAUCACAAUUCGGCAUAUUUGAACAACAUCAACCAUGACUACCAACAGUCACAGCCCUUCAGCUCUGGGCUAAUGUACUGUUACAUGUUAGAUUGUCAAAGUUUGAAAAAUAACGGCUCAGUCUCUGAGGAGCUACGUUGGCAGCUGCAUUCAUCAGUAUGCAGUUAGUUCGGUCACAUCACAUUCAAUAUAAAGACGUUUUCUACUUUGUUUUGGACACGUCUCAAAAAAUGUAGCCUAGGGAGGUCGGCCCGAUCGGAGGGAAUUUAGAGAAGGGAGAAAAAAAACCCCUCAAAAACCCGUAGCGGAACACAAGGGGAAAACAACAGCUUGUGCACUUUUAUAUCAUUUAGAUUCUUUUUUAUUGGUGAAAACUAAACAGUUGGCAGGGGGUUAGAAUUAGAACUUCACGAUAUAAAUACAGAGGUCUAUAGACAUCAAUCUGUCUGUCUGUCCAUGAGCUUCAUGUGUCAUUUUCAUUGGGGGGGAGGAGGAACAGCAGGAGAAGCAAUGUGAGGAGCAGGAGGAACAACAGGAGGAACAGCAGGAGGAACAACAGGAGGAACAGCAGGAGGAACAGGAGGUACAAUCAACACUUCUACAAAAGGAAAGAGUGACCCCUCCUAUUGUGCCUCCGAAACCAAGAUCCAUUAGACGAGCAGUAAAGUCGGGUCCGCUGUAAUCGUACAUUUGCCUCCUGGUGACACAUUUCAGAUUAAACUUUAAACUGUGACUGCAACGUUUGUGAUUGGAUGCAGGCUGGAGAUUUUUUGUUGCUUUUGCUUUUUCAAAUGUCAGUUUAAAAAUACGUUUCUACUGUGAUUUAUCUUUCUGUAUAAAGCUAUGAGUGCUCAACUAAAAGUGUGUGGUUGCAAAUUAUGAUGCAAAUGUAAAUAAAAAGAAAAAAAAGAAGUUCUGUACAGGAGGUUCAAUAAUAUCUUUUUUUCAAAAUGUUAUCCUGUCAGAAGUUGGUCUCUGUUAAUUUUAGUUUGAACAAAUGACCGAAUUAAUGCAAAUUUAUGUGGAAACAAAACAAAAAUAAAAGUUUAAUUAUUUGACAAAUAUAAUAAAAAGAAAGGCAUGU